Molecule: ribosomal RNA, 253 nt
Filed under: uncultured bacterium
Lineage: Bacteria
Description: partial 16S ribosomal RNA
Rfam family: Bacterial small subunit ribosomal RNA
Source: RNAcentral
UACGGAGGAUGCAAGCGUUAUCCGGAAUGAUUGGGCGUAAAGCGUCCGCAGGUGGCGAUGUAAGUCUGCUGUUAAAGAGUGAGGCUCAACCUCAUAAGAGCAGUGGAAACUACAUAGCUAGAGUACGUUCGGGGCAGAGGAAAUUCCUGGUGUAGCGGUGAAAUGCGUAGAGAUCAGGAAGAACACCAGUGGCGAAGGCGCUCUGCUAGGCCGUAACUGACACUGAGGGACGAAAGCUAGGGGAGCGAAUGGG